This 460-nucleotide ribosomal RNA is filed under the name uncultured bacterium. RNAcentral describes it as "partial 16S ribosomal RNA". It matches the Rfam family "Bacterial small subunit ribosomal RNA", at positions 338 to 795 of the family's 1533-position model. The record is from RNAcentral.
CCUACGGGUGGCUGCAGUGAGGAAUAUUGGUCAAUGGACGAGAGCCUGAACCAGCCAAGUAGCGUGAAGGAUGACUGCCCUACGGGUUGUAAACUUCUUUUAUAAGGGAAUAAAGUGAGGCACGUGUUCCUUUUUGUAUGUACUUUAUGAAUAAGGAUCGGCUAACUCCGUGCCAGCAGCCGCGGUAAUACGGAGGAUCCGAGCGUUAUCCGGAUUUAUUGGGUUUAAAGGGAGCGUAGGGGGGUUGUUAAGUUGGUGGUGAAAGUCUGCGGCUCAACCGUAGAAUUGCUAUUGUUACUGGCAGCCUUGAGUGCAGUGGAGGUAGGCGGAAUUCGUGGUGUAGCGGUGAAAUGCUUAGAUAUCACGAAGAACUCCGAUUGCGAAGGCAGCUUACUAAACUGCCACUGACAUUGAUGCUCGAAAGUGUGGGUAUCAAACAGGAUUAGAUACCCUAGUAGUC